RNAcentral lists this ribosomal RNA (330 nucleotides) under uncultured bacterium. RNAcentral's name for it is "bacterial SSU rRNA". It matches the Rfam family "Bacterial small subunit ribosomal RNA", at positions 568 to 898 of the family's 1533-position model. The record is from RNAcentral.
UUCGUAGGCGGUGCGGCAAGUCGGGAGUGAAAUCUCUGGGCUUAACUCAGAGGCUGCUCUCGAAACUGCCGUGCUCGAGUGCGGGAGAGGCGAGUGGAAUUGCAGGUGUAGCGGUGAAAUGCGUAGAUAUCUGCAGGAACACCCGUGGCGAAGGCGGCUCGCUGGACCGCAACUGACGCUGAGGAACGAAAGCUAGGGGAGCAAACAGGAUUAGAUACCCUGGUAGUCCUAGCCCUAAACCAUCAGGACUUGGGGUGGCCCGCGUAGGCGGGUCGUCCCGCAGCUAACGCGUUAAGUCCUGCGCCUGGGGAGUACGGUCGCAAGACUGAA